This 148-nucleotide non-coding RNA is filed under the name Gorilla gorilla gorilla (western lowland gorilla). Lineage: Eukaryota; Metazoa; Chordata; Mammalia; Primates; Hominidae. The record is from Rfam by way of RNAcentral.
GCUGGGCGUGGUGGUGCGCGCCUGUAAUCCCAGCUACUCGGGAGGCUGAGACAGGAGAAUUGCUUGAAACUGGGAGAUUGAGGUUGCAGUGAGCUGAGAUCGGGCCACUGCACUCCAGCCUGAGUGACAGAGUGAAACUCUGUCUCAA